CCAAAUUUUCUGCUCCAAAAAGUAGAAAAUUGGCGAUAACUCGUUUAAUUUGAUAGAUACAUCAAUUGGGCUCCAGAUUCGGAUUCCUGAGAUCAAAAUACAUCAAAUUAGCAUAUGAAAUGGAAUAUUCCCUGGUCAGAAAAGACAUCGUUUGACGAACGUUAAGAAUUAUAGGAUACUAACUACUAAUAAUAAGACAGUGUUUUACCAUAAUGAGGUUUAAUCGUUGGAUUAAUUACACAAGAUAAAGUAAUAAAACCGGCUCAACACCCAUGUGAUCCUGCACAGAGCAGACUACCAUGGGAUACUUUGUGUUACGAAAACCGAGAAUUGGGUCGUUCUGUGAAAUUUCACAAAACAUUAAACCAUAUUAUAAAACUCAUCGAUACACAUGAGUACAAAUGGUUGAAUGAAUAAAUGAAACGAACUGAAGACAGAGAUUCGUUUCAUCUUUCCGAGAAAUCACCCCUGUCAAAAUUUCAAGUCGUAUAAUUUUCAAAGCUAUCCUUUGGGCAUGUAUUUUUUCUGUAAGUUGCAAGAACUGAAAAUGAAUAUUUUUCAGCAACCGGGCUAAAGAAAAAAAAUUAAGAGUUGAAACCCCAGAACAUAUAUGAUUCGAUCUCCUCACUGGACGAGGGUAAAAGAUGUGCAGGCGUGAGAAAAAGUAUCAUCUGGGAUCACUUCUGCAAGGUACUGUGUUUCAAUAUCUUGAAUUAGAUGCAAUUCAUCCGAAACUUUGAAUUCUUCACACCAGCCAAGUUAUGGGAAUAAUUACCUAAAUAGCUGGUUCCAACAAAUUUCUGUAUGUAUAAACCACAUCAAUAUCUAAAAUGGUCUACAGAAUUUCUGUACUCUCUGAAUUUCUGUACCACGCGUUUGUUGAAUUUUCCGAUAUUUGAAUCACUCUGCACAUGAAAGGAAGACCCUCACUCAACAGUAGUACUAAAUUUGGAACUUUUUCCUCCGACGCUUCGGUGCGCAAAUUUGUGCAAAAAAAAAAUAAGUUUUACAGAACUUACGGACUCGGAAAUAUUUGGAUCAAAUGUGGCUUCUGUGAUCGUAUCACAUUUUUUAUAAGAAAUAAAAACGAAAAAAAUGGGUACACGAUUUUGAAAAUGAGACGAAUUUUUUUUACCCCACAAUAUCUGUACGAUGGUAAUACGAAGCGGAAGGUAAAAUCAAGUCGUUGAAAUUUAUCUCAUUGUAACGGCGUUACUAACAAAUCAAGGUCAUCAGUGGUUAAUUAGCUAACGAAAUUUCUAAAUCUAAUCUCGUUCCUCAUUUAUUAUACCAGCUCAUUGUAGUUAGGUAUAUAGUAUACGCAUGCUACGAAUGCGAAGUGAUAAAAGAACGUACCCAAACUUUUUUAUCAUAAAAUGUCGGGUCUGCAGAAUAUUAUAACCGUUAGCUACGUUUCAACUGCCUCGAUUCGAUGAAUAAUCUAAUUACUAUGAAAUUCUGUACGGUGCUGCAUCGCACGAAAUGUACUGAUAAUACGCAGAAGAGAUUCCCAGGCUAGUAAAUUCGGAGUAAAUAGGAAAGAAUCGGUAUUUACUCUAGGUGACGAUGUUCCAUUGCAAUUCAUAAAAUUAUUACGUACCUUGCGCACGCGUAACGCAUACACCUCUUCCAUCGAUUCUGUCAGGAGUCCCUGUAAUUAAAGGUGAUAAUCCUAGAACCGAUUGUAAAACGGAGGAUUCGGUUUUUGUUGAUAUACGCUGUACAAAUACCUACACAUCAUGAAUAUUUAUUUAGAAGAAAGUGCUGGAAGAGAAAAAAUUGGUGGUACAGCGUAUAACACCUAUGUAAAAUGAUGAUUCGUCGUUCAUUAACUCUCAUUGACGAGUAUGACUCAUAUUUUUUGUUUUCAGAUUGGACCGGGUACCGUGUGAAUGGGGAAAAAUCAAGUAUGAGGUGAUCGUGAUAGAGGUACUUACUAAUAAGUACGUAGUACGUGUUAAUAAAAUGUACUUUUAUUUCAUAAUAAUUUAUUAUAAGAUUGUGGCAACCUCGCAGAUGACUUUACACAUUGGAGGAUCGAUACAAGACGCGCUACACAACCAGAAAUAAUUUGACCUUCGUUUACGAACCAAAAUAAAAGAAAAUUACAAAACAUGAAGAACAGAUAAAACAUGAAUAGAAGUAAACGAGAUAAAGAAUUAAACACAAGGCGUCAGUCUUUGUUACGAGAGUUGUAACGAUACCUAUAUACUUUUAUUCGGAAUGUGUUGCCAACGGUUUUACAACAGAGUAGUCGCGACAAUAUGUGUACAAUUACAUUUGUAUAAAAACUAAAAUACCACAAAGAAAAAGAAAAGAAAAA
This is a long non-coding RNA of Athalia rosae (coleseed sawfly), 2323 nucleotides long. RefSeq lists it as uncharacterized. The record is from RefSeq and is a predicted model, not a curated record. Lineage: Eukaryota; Metazoa; Arthropoda; Insecta; Hymenoptera; Athaliidae. The transcript is spliced from 2 exons.